UGGCCUAGAUCUAGCUAAAGUAUCGAGCUGAUUGAUUCUGGAUUUAUUAUGAAUAAUAAUAAAAACUGUCUGCAAGAGAACCAGAUACUGUGAGACUUGAGAACCUUCUUGAGCCUACACAAAACAUAAGUAAUCUUUUGAUUUCAUAUCAGCCCCUGCCAGUC
This is a long non-coding RNA of Amphimedon queenslandica, 164 nucleotides long. RefSeq lists it as uncharacterized. NCBI's taxonomy places the organism in Eukaryota, Metazoa, Porifera, Demospongiae, Haplosclerida, Niphatidae. The record is from RefSeq and is a predicted model, not a curated record. The transcript has 3 exons.